RNAcentral lists this long non-coding RNA (249 nucleotides) under Lathyrus oleraceus (garden pea). RNAcentral's name for it is "Pisum sativum (pea) long non-coding RNA (PSAT_LNC034917)". Lineage: Eukaryota; Viridiplantae; Streptophyta; Magnoliopsida; Fabales; Fabaceae. The record is from RNAcentral.
UAAGCUGUAAAAUACAGCAGUUUGAAGCAACUCUUCAAAAGACUUUUCCAAAAGCUUCUUGAAAUUCCCAAGCGCCCAAUUCCAAUCCUUAAUUACAGCGCCCCAAAUCCAAAAACAUACCAUUUUUCAAUCAAUGUCCAUUCACAUUUUGCAAACCUACAAAACCAAUUCAUAAUUUAAAAACAGCUUAUCAAAUAAGCACUUAAAAAACUGAAAAAUAAAUGAUAAAGUAAGAAGAUUAAUUGGUUA